This 1075-nucleotide ribosomal RNA is filed under the name uncultured organism. RNAcentral's name for it is "bacterial SSU rRNA". It matches the Rfam family "Bacterial small subunit ribosomal RNA", at positions 272 to 1362 of the family's 1533-position model. The record is from RNAcentral.
GGCUAAGACGGGUAGGGGGCGUGAGAGCGCGAUCCCCCACACUGGCACUGAGACACGGGCCAGACUCCUACGGGAGGCAGCAGUGAGGAAUAUUGCGCAAUGGACGAAAGUCUGACGCAGCGACGCCGGGUGGGCGAUGAAGCCCUUCGGGGUCGUAAACCCUUUCCUGGGGGAAGAAGAAAGGCCGGUACCCCAGGAAUAAGCCCCGGCAACUACGGUGCCAGCAGCCGCGGUUAAACGUUAGGGGGCAAGCCGUAACCCGAAUUUACUGUGCGUAAAGAGCGUUGAGGCGGUUUGGUAAGUUGGGCGUGAAGCCCUGGGCCUAACUCAGGGAAGCCCGUUCAAUACUGCGAAACUUGAGGGCAGCAGAGGGGAAGGUGGAAUUCCCGGAGUAAGCGGUGAAAUGCCGUAGAAUAUCGGGAAGGAACACCAAGUGGGCGAAGGGCGGCCUCCUGGGCUGCUCCUGACGCCUGAAGGCGAAAGCUAGGGGAGCGAACGGGAUUAGAAACCCCGGUAGUCCUAGCCGUAAACGAUGGAUGCUAGGUGUGGGGGGUGUAGAUUCCCUCCGUGCCGCAGUUAACGCGUUAAGCAUCCCGCCUGGGGAGUACGGCCGCAAGGCUAAAACUCAAACGAAUUGACGGGGGCCCGCACAAGCAGCGGAGCGUGUGGUUUAAUUCGAUGCUACACGAAGAACCUUACCUGGGCUUGACAUACAGGUAGUAGUGAAGCGAAAGCGGAUCGAUCCCUUCGGGGAGCCUGUACAGGUGCUGCAUGGCUGUCGUCAGCUCGUGCCGUGAGGUGUCGGGUUAAGUCCCGUAACGAGCGCAACCCUUGCUCUUAGUUAUACGUGUCUAAGAGGACUGCCGGCGGUAAGCCGGAGGAAGGUGGGGAUGACGUCAAGUCAGCAUGGCCUUUAUGUCCAGGGCUACACACACGCUACAACGGCCGGUACAAUGGGUAGCUAAACCGCGAGGUGGAGCCAAUCCUGUAAAGCCGGUCUCAGUUCGAAUUGCAGGCUGCAACUCGCCUGCAUGAAGUCGGAGUUGCUAGUAAUCGCAGGUCAGCAAUACUGCGG